Molecule: long non-coding RNA, 783 nt
Filed under: Elaeis guineensis (African oil palm)
Lineage: Eukaryota; Viridiplantae; Streptophyta; Magnoliopsida; Arecales; Arecaceae
Description: long non-coding RNA (EGUI_LNC032212)
Source: RNAcentral
UCAUAGUAUCGUUGAAACUCUUUUCAAUAGAUCAGAACGAUUUCACUCUCACUCAACAAGGAUUAUCGAUUCAGAACAAUCUUAGUGAGCUCUCACAAUCCAUCAGUGACAUCUAGCAGUAUGUAGUGACAAUCCAGUAGAAUAAAAAUGAUGAACCUCUAGGUGUAGUUAUCGUGUGAUUCAGUCCUUCUAUCACAAGUUUCGAUCAGAUGGCAGAUCAUGGAUAAAUCAUCAAACCUCAUCGGUCAUAUGAUAGAUUUAAUUAGCUCGAGUCCGACUGUGAUUCUCAUGAAAAUUUUUUUUCAUCAAUCAUACUACUAUGGCCAUAGACUUAAGAGCUCAGCCUCUUAAAUCUCAUAGGACUACUUCCUUCUGCUAAGAUCGAUAGAUCCCAUUUAAAUACACAUCCUACUCCUACAGUAGAUCAAUUAUCACCAACAUCCACUAUAAGGACUCAUUGAAAUCAUAUUUUUGUGUAGUUAAACUCCAGCAGUCUCACUGUGAGCAGCUAUGGCACCGUAGAUCAAAGGAUCAGUUACACUGCUGCAGCAUCGAGAAAGUCACUAAUGAGUGAGCAGACAUCCAUGUGUCUUCUCGUGUUGGUCACAAUUAGUAUUGGUUGUUCUCUAACAACCACUUGCACUCUCGCUCUAAUAUCCUUAUACUGCAGAUUCAAGACUCAUCUACCCGAAAGAAGCGAUUUGUGCACCAGUCUAUCCGAAUCAAUCACUAUCUCCAUGAUGAUCCUAUGAUCGGGAGCAAUUUAGGAAUUAACCAUCAAUG